CGCCAGACUCCUACGGGAGGCAGCAGUGAGUCCUCUUGGACAAUUUUUUUAACCCUGAUCCAUCUACGCCGCGUUCUUGAAGAAGUCUUUCGUUAUGUAACUCUCUCUAAGCAGGGCCGACAGGAAUGCCUGUACCUGACUAAUAAGCCCCGGCUAACUACGUGCCAGCAGCCGCGGUAAUACGUAGGGGGCAAGCGUUAUCCGGAUUUACUGGGUGUAAAGGGAGCGUAGACGGUUACGCAAGUCUGGAGUGAAAGGCGGGGGCCCAACCCCCGGACUGCUUUGGAAACUGUAUAACUGGAGUGCAGGAGAGGUAAGUGGAAUUCCUAGUGUAGCGGUGAAAUGCGUAGAUAUUAGGAGGAACACCAGUGGCGAAGGCGGCUUACUGGACUGUAACUGACGUUGAGGCUCGAAAGCGUGGGGAGCAAACAGGAUUAGAUACCCGGGUA
This 449-nucleotide ribosomal RNA is filed under the name uncultured bacterium. RNAcentral describes it as "bacterial SSU rRNA". It matches the Rfam family "Bacterial small subunit ribosomal RNA", at positions 329 to 792 of the family's 1533-position model. The record is from RNAcentral.